Molecule: long non-coding RNA, 519 nt
Filed under: Homo sapiens (human)
Lineage: Eukaryota; Metazoa; Chordata; Mammalia; Primates; Hominidae
Description: non-protein coding lnc-CASKIN2-2:1
Source: RNAcentral
CACGUACCGCUGAUGAGUGAGUUCCACGAUCACUGGGCUGAGGAGCACUCCAAGCUCUCGUUCCCUUGGAGACUGCAGGACCCUGUCAACCCUGGCCUGUUUGGGCCACCUCUCCCCAGAUUGUACCUCUCCUACUCCAGGGGACUGCCCCUACAACCCCACCAGGGCCAGGCAUGGCUACAACUUAGGUGCUACCAGCAGCUGCUGAGGGACAGUAAGCCACAGGGUGCUCAGAGAGCCCUAAUCAGAAUCCCUGUGCCCAAGGCCUACCCCACCAGGCCUGGAGUCCCGCAAGAGCUCAGCAGGGAGAAGCCCAGGCCCACCUGAUACCUUGUGCCUGUUACCUUGCACCCACAGAGCUGACCUCCGGGCCAAGGCCGUGGAGCUGGAACAUGAGACAUUCCGGAACGCCAAGGUGGCCAACCUCUACAAGGCCAGCGUGCUGAAGAAGGUGGCCGAUAUCCACAGAGCCUCCAAGGAUGGGCAGCCCUAUGACAUGGGAGGCAGUGCCAAGAGCUG